RNAcentral lists this ribosomal RNA (468 nucleotides) under uncultured bacterium. RNAcentral's name for it is "partial 16S ribosomal RNA". It matches the Rfam family "Bacterial small subunit ribosomal RNA", at positions 28 to 507 of the family's 1533-position model. The record is from RNAcentral.
GACGAACGCUGGCGGCGUGCUUAACACAUGCAAGUCGAACGGAAAGGCCCUGCUUGCCGGGUGCUCGAGUGGCGAACGGGUGAGUAACACGUGGGUGAUCUGCCCCUUACUUUGGGAUAAGCCUGGUAAACUGGGUCUAAUACUGGAUAGGACCAUGCUGUAGGUGGUGUGGUGGAAAGAUUAGUUUCGGUAAGGGAUGAGCUCGCGGCCUAUCAGCUUGUUGGUGGGGUAAUGGCCUACCAAGGCGUCGACGGGUAGCCGGCCUGAGAGGGUGGACGGCCACAUUGGGACUGAGAGACGGCCCAGACUCCUACGGGAGGCAGCAGUGGGGAAUAUUGCACAAUGGGCGCAAGCCUGAGGCAGCGACGCCGCGUGGGGAUGACGGCCUUCGGGUUGUAAACUCCUUGCAGCCAUGACGAAGCCCUUGUGGUGACGGUAGUGGUAGAAGAAGCACCGGCUAACUACGUG